RNAcentral lists this long non-coding RNA (1057 nucleotides) under Solanum tuberosum (potato). RNAcentral's name for it is "long non-coding RNA (STUB_LNC011567)". Lineage: Eukaryota; Viridiplantae; Streptophyta; Magnoliopsida; Solanales; Solanaceae. The record is from RNAcentral.
CUACACAAGGUCAGUAAUCACCCUCGUCUUACAUUUUGCUUUCGGUUUCUGGAAAUAAGAAUAUAGUUUUGUGUCGUUAUCUCAAUUUUGCCAAUCUAAAUUCGUUUAGUUAUAAAAAAAAAUGUUAGUAAAGAUUUGUGGUCAAUGAGAGGGACUGUUGAUUUACCAAUCUGAUUAUGUGUGUGUUUUUAUUUCUCUAAAUGUAAAUGCUGCCUCUUAGAUGUAUUUUGUACACAAACUAAUUUCAGGCAGUAAACUUAAGUCGAAUCGAUGUUCUGUCAUCUAUAUAAUUGAAAUCGAUUCACUAUUCUUGUUUGAAAUCUUUACAUGUUCAUGUAACUAAGAGUGUAAUGUUAUGAGAUUAAAGGUCGAGUUGAGAAGUUUACUCUCUGUUUGAACUUUAGCUACCAUGAUUACGAUUUGAUCAGUAAAUCAAUGAUAUGGUCUGCCGAUCAAGUAUAUGCUUUGUCACGAUAAUUUGAUGGCUUGUUCCAAUACAUCCGACUCUAUGUACAAUGUAUUGCUGCUAUUUCCUUUAUAUUUUUAACCAUGAAACAACUUGAGAUGUUGUUAAGAUAAUUCAUAUACAUUUGUGGAAAUCAAAAUGUUUGGCAUUUGCUAUCUUUGACAUGUUCUGUUCCUUUUUUUUCUCAUAUGGAUCAGGGCUCAUUUCUUUUAGAAAAUAACUAGUACAUAUUGUGCUCUUCUUUGGCUUACUUCAUUAUUUAAUGUUACAUAUAUUGAGCUUGUAGGAAUGCAUCUCCAAAGAUUUCUUUUUCGUUAAAAAUCAGAUGUCAUGUUGGGAUCAGUCACGUGGGCAGCCAUGUCCAAAGUUAGCUCGAACUCUUUUCAUAAUUUUUCUAAGUGACGACCAUCCAUAUAUAGAUAUGAUCGUAUUUGUUAGGACUAUCUCUUAAGACGAAUAGUCAUAAAGUGUUUCAACAAAUUUGUCGCUAUAUGUUUAGCUUCUCAAAUCUUGGUUGUGUCUUAAUAAUAAUUUCUCUCUCGUAAGAUAAAAGGAAAUAGCUAAAGGCCUGGUGUUCUUUCCCAAAAAUUA